CUCAGCAAGUUCCCCUGAAAUUUGGGCUGCUGCUUGGGUAAAUAUCCCAUGAUGGGGGUUCCAUUCUAGGAGUGGACUGGCAGGCUGAGCCUCCCAUGGAGCUGAUCCAGCCAGGAUAGAGAGAAGGGGAGGCAAAGGCUGAGACAGAACCAGCUUGAGAGCGGAGGCGCAACUCUUGUCUCCUGGUGGCCUUGAGCAUUUCACAAUAGGGGGAUAAAGAAUAGGAGCAGAAAAGUGGGGCUGACAUCAGAAAUGGGGUCCUCUAGAGCUCACAGGAGGGUGUUAGAUUGGAGUGGGAGCUUAGUGGAGGUGAGCCUUAGAGGCAAAAGUCUCCAGACCAAUCCAGGGCCCCUCUUCUAUCCGGGGGGCCCUCUUCUAUCCAGGGCCCCUCUUCUGUCUGGGAGCCCCCUCUUCUGUCUGGGAGCCCCCUCUUCUAUCCAGGGCCUCAUGCAGUGGGGCCUAGGGGAGGUUCUCUGAGGACUUGGCCUUGAUGACAGGGUGGCUGGAGGAAUCAGAACGGUCAGACCUUCUUUGACCUGCGGGCACCUUUAGUUGGAAUGGUCAGGCCUGGGAUGGUGGAGGGGGCUCUUGUGGGUGGGGACUGGGGUGGCAGGGAGGAGGCUGUCUGCAUGGCCGCGACAUCUCCUUUGGCUGGGGGCGUCAGGGCUGGAGAGGUGUGAAGAGUUCUUGAGGCCUCGAUGUGUCUCACUCCAGCUCACCAGGUCUGCAUUUGCCCGUCCCCAGCUCCUGCUGCCACCUCUGGCCGUUUUAGGCACUUGGCUCCCUUGGCCCAGAGGAGCUUGCCUCACAGGCCUGUGCACCUCUGACCCCUGUGAACCAGUUUUCCUUUGUGCCUCCACAGCCACAGCCUGGCAGCUCUGACCAGGAAAGUGAGGAACAGCAACAAUUCUGGAACAUUUUCAAGCAGAUAGCAGGAGAUGACAUGGAGAUCUGUGCAGACGAGCUCAAGAAGGUCCUUAACACAGUCGUGAACAAACACAAGGACCUGAAGACACAUGGGUUCACACUGGAGUCCUGCCGUAGCAUGAUUGCGCUCAUGGAUACAGAUGGCUCUGGAAAGCUCAACCUGCAAGAGUUCCACCACCUCUGGAACAAGAUUAAGGCCUGGCAGAAAAUUUUCAAACACUAUGACACAGACCAGUCCGGCACCAUCAACAGCUACGAGAUGCGAAAUGCAGUCAACGACGCAGGAUUCCACCUCAACAACCAGCUCUAUGACAUCAUUACCAUGCGGUAUGCAGACAAACACAUGAACAUUGACUUCGACAGUUUCAUCUGCUGCUUCGUUAGGCUGGAGGGCAUGUUCAGAGCUUUUCAUGCAUUUGACAAGGAUGGAGAUGGUAUCAUCAAACUCAACGUUCUGGAGUGGCUGCAGCUCACCAUGUAUGCCUGAACCAGGCUGGCCUCAUCCAAAGCCAUGCAGGAUCACUCAGGAUUUCAGUUGCACCCUCUAUUUCCAAAGCCACUUACCUCAAAGGACCCAGCAGCUACACCCCUACAGGCUUCCAGGCACCUCAUCAGUCAUGUUCCUCCUCCAUUUUAACCCCUACCCAUCCUUGAUCGGUCAUGCCUAGCCUGACCCUUUAGAAAAGCAAUGAGGUAGGAAGAACAAACCCUUGUCCCUUUGCCACGUGGAGGAAAGUGCCUGCCUCUGGUCCGAGCCGCCUCGGUUCUGAAGCGAGUGCUCCUGCUUACCUUGCUCUAGGCUGUCUGCAGAAGCACCUGCCGGUGGCACUCAGCACCUCCUUGUGCUAGAGCCCUCCAUCACCUUCACGCUGUCCCACCAUGGGCCCAGUGCUGGGCUUCUGCUGGUUAUUUUAGGAGAGGCCUGCUGUGGGGUAAACUAACUCAGUGGAAUAGGGCUGGUUACUUUGGGCUGUCCAACUCAUAAGUUUGGCUGCAUUUUGAAAAAAGCUGAUCUAAAUAAAGGCAUGUGUAUGGUGGUCC
This 1968-nucleotide small RNA is filed under the name Pongo abelii (Sumatran orangutan). RNAcentral describes it as "retained intron". Lineage: Eukaryota; Metazoa; Chordata; Mammalia; Primates; Hominidae. The record is from RNAcentral.